Molecule: long non-coding RNA, 540 nt
Organism: Eurytemora carolleeae
Lineage: Eukaryota; Metazoa; Arthropoda; Copepoda; Calanoida; Temoridae
Exons: 5
Source: RefSeq, a predicted model, not a curated record
UAUACUAUUGGAUGCUUGUGUCCCUGUGUGGCAUUUAGAGCCGGUCCUGGUUGAGUGUAGAGUCUAAGCUUGAGUCCUAUAUUAUUGGAUGCUUGUGUCCCUGUGUGACAUAUAGAGCUCGUCCUGGUUGAAUAUAGAGUCUGAGAUUCAGACUGUGCAGUGUCCUUUAGAAUCAGGCAGUUAAUUAUGGUUGAGAAAUUGCCUGUGUGGCUUUCAGACCUAGGGAGUGAAGCCUGGUUGAGAUUUUGGACUGUGUGUUAGAACCAGAGAGUUAAGCCUGGUUGAGAAAUAGCCUGUGUGGUAUUUAGAAUUGGAGCCCCUAGAUGGUCGUAUUGCUGGAGAUUCAGAAACUAACGAACAAUACAGUGCAAAAUACGGAAGACGAGCUGAUAAUAUGAAACGAUCAGAUUACAUUAAAGCAAAUGGAUUAGACUUUGAGGGAGGCACUGAGAAUGGAAAAUACAUGAAAGAUAUGAAGUUUGACAGGCCUGAAAAGUAUCGAAGUAAAAGCGGUAAUCUGAAGUUAAUGGAUGGCAGAAU